AGUGAACGCUGGCGGUAUGCCUAACACAUGCAAGUCGAACGGCAGCACAGGAAGAGCUUGCUCUUACGGGUGUCGAGUGUCGGACGGUUCAGUAAUACUUCGGAAUCUACUCUUUCGGGGGGGAUAAUGUAGGGAAACGUACGCUGAUACCGCAUUCGACGUACUGGUGUAAGCAGGCGUUCUUCUGACCUUUCGCGAGUGAAUGAGCCGAUGUCGGAUUAGCUAGUUGGCGGGGUUAAGGCACACCACGGCGACGAUGCGAAUCGGGUCUGAGAGCAUGGUCAGACACAUUGGAACUGAGAAACGGCCCAGACUCCGGCAGGAGGCCACAGUGGGGAAUCUUAGACAAUGGGCGAAAGCCUGAUCCAGCCAUACCGCGUGGGUGCAGAAGGACUUCGGGUUGGAAAGCCCUGAUGUUGGGAAAGAAAAGCAGCAGGUUAAUCCCCCGCUGUUCUGACGGUACCCAAAGAAUAAGCACCGGCUAACUUCGUG
This 492-nucleotide ribosomal RNA is filed under the name uncultured bacterium. Its description in RNAcentral is "partial 16S ribosomal RNA". It matches the Rfam family "Bacterial small subunit ribosomal RNA", at positions 29 to 507 of the family's 1533-position model. The record is from RNAcentral.